CAGAAAAUAGUUUAAUAAAACCUUAUCUUUGGGUGAUAAAAUUCAGCAUUGCUGUUUUCUGA
RNAcentral lists this transfer RNA (62 nucleotides) under Spirobrachia sp. YL-2014. RNAcentral's name for it is "tRNA-Pro". The record is from RNAcentral. Lineage: Eukaryota; Metazoa; Annelida; Polychaeta; Sabellida; Siboglinidae.